AGUACAAAUUGCUGGUUAUAUGCUGUAUGUUUUUAGUUUUUUUAAGAAACUGCCAAACUGUUUUCCAAAGUGGCUGUGUCAGUUUACAUUCUCAUUAGCAAU
Molecule: microRNA precursor, 102 nt
Filed under: Marmota monax (woodchuck)
Lineage: Eukaryota; Metazoa; Chordata; Mammalia; Rodentia; Sciuridae
Source: RNAcentral